RNAcentral lists this unclassified non-coding RNA (510 nucleotides) under Hevea brasiliensis (rubber tree). The record is from RNAcentral. Lineage: Eukaryota; Viridiplantae; Streptophyta; Magnoliopsida; Malpighiales; Euphorbiaceae.
GCAUGACACAAAGGAAUAGAGCAAACAUAUUGAAAUCUAUCCUUUUUCCUUGUGAUUCAAUUCAAUACAUAAUUAUGGAAAUUUUUUGCCCAUUCUACCAACUCUAUUCUACAAAUACUCUCUGGCUCUUUCCUACCUAAAAGUUUUUGAGCUAUCUCACUAGAAAAUUUACAUGAUGGAGAAUUCAUCAUCCAAACCAUCUAGUUCUCCUUUUAGAUGGUGUUGUUGGAUGAUCAAAACAGAGGUCUUGAGUGAGAAACUAGACCCUGAAAGCACAUCCCCUAUUGGACCUAAUUCUGGACAUUGCUGCCAAUCAUUCAUCCCAACUGUUAGUAUUGAAUUCACCCUCCCUCCUCGCCCUACGAUGAUUAGUGCAUACUGCCCUUCCAAUGAUGUCAGAGUUGCAUAGGUCUCAGCUGAAUUGGCCAGGUGCUUCUCCAUAUAGGAGACAUGCCCUCCUGCGACAUAUCUUUCAUAGAAAUGAGCAAAACACUCAUCGUCCAGCUUCAU